CGUACGGAGAGGGAGAGAACGACAAAAAGCACAUGAACAAAUCAUAAUUUUACAAAUUGAAGAAGAGGAUAACGUUAGGUCCUACCAUAUAUCAAGUUAGGCCAUUAAUAAAAAAGUAUUGUACCAUAAUUAAAAAAAAAAAAGGGGGAAAUCAAACUAGCUAGUUACCCAAUUAACUAACCAGCUAGCUAACCAACUAGCUAACUAGCUAACCAAUAAGCCAAAUAACUAACUAAUUAGCCAAAUAACUAACUAACUAAUUAGCCAAAUAACUAACUAACUAAUUAGCCAAAUAACUAACUAACUAAUUAGCCAAAUAACUAACUAAAUAAUUAGCUACCGAACGAACAACAAAAUGGAGCACUACAUCAGGGAAACUAAAAAACUAACCUUAAAAAAUAACAAGGGGAAGAAACUGUUUAGGUAUUUAGACAUUUCACUAAAUAACAAGUCAUUGUAUGACCAGCAUAUAUUCGAUUUAGUAAAAGUUUUAAAAAAGAAUAUAAAAAUAGUUUACAACAAUUAUUAUUGUUUAAACAUUGAUUUGAGUGAAAAUUAUAUUACAUGUGUCGGUUUAAAAACAUUAUUAAAAUAUAUAUUAAAUUAUAAUGAAAAUAUAGGUGUAAAUAUAUUAAAAUUAUAUAAAAAUAAUAUAAAAGAUGAUGGUGUCUUUUUAAUAAAACAAUUGGUUUAUAUUCAAAAAAUACCCAUGGAAGAAUUACAUUUGUCUCAUAAUUUUAUUCAAGAUAAUACAUGUAAAGAAUUAUUACUUAGUUUUGUACAGGCUAAAAAAGAUAGUAACUAUGUAUAUCCAAGACUUGAUAAAUAUCAAAGUGCAUACAAACAAAUUCAACAUAUACCUGUAUGGGUACGAUUAGAAUAUAAUUGUAUUCAAAACCCUAAAGACAUAUUAAAAGAAGUGGAAGAAUGUGCUAAAAAAAAGAGAGGUUACAAAAGUAAUCUCAUUAUAUGUUCAGCUUUAAAAAAUGAAAAAAGAUGUGGUCCAUAUAAAUGUCUAAACUCUACAAUUCGUAAUACUCCUAUUAUGCAUGUAUAUAUGUUUAUACAUCAAAAAGAAAAUUUGACUUCAAGUAACGACAAAAUGUUGAGAGAAAAUAAUAAAAAAGAAUUACCAUUGGUAGUAAAUCCUACUUAUAUAAACAAUGAUAUAGUUAACAAAACAUGUGAUUUACUUGUUAAUAAAAGUAACAUAAUUACAAAAAAACUAGAUGCUACUAAGGAAGGGGAACCAAACUUUAUAAACAGUAAACAUACUGAUGAAAGUAGUAUUGGUAGUAGUUACACAAGUGAUAACAGUAAUGACAGUGACAGUAAUAACAAUGGAAGUGAUAACAGUAAUGACAGCAGUAUGGACUGCAGUUCAUCUGAUGGUUCUUCUGUUUUUUCAGUUACUCUUAAAAAAAAAAAUAAAAAAAAAGAAAGUCACAAAAAAAUAACAAACAAAGUUUCUUAUUAUGUCAAUAGUAAUGAUACAAAAGCAAAAAAAAAAAAAAAAAAAAAAAAAAAAAAAGAAAAAGUGAAAGUAGUAAUAGUAAUAUUACUAUUAGUGGUAGUAUUGUUAGCGAUAGUAGUAAUAGUGAUAGUGGUAUUAAUAGUAGCAGUAGUAUGGAAAAGAGUAGUAUUAGUGGUAGCAGUAGCAACAGUAGAAGUAGCAGCCAUUGUAGCAGUACAAGCAGCAUCAACAGACAUAAUAACAAAGUCAUUAAACAUAGCAUUUUGAAUGGUAAUAAACUGAAAAAUAAGAAAAAGGAGAAAAAGAAAAGUGAUGAACAUAAUAGUGGUGAUUAUUGUAUCAGGAGCAAAGUGAAUGAAAAUGAAAAUAAUUUUACUUAUGAUGACAUUAUAACAAAUAAAUUAAAAACUGACAGAGAUAAAAAAAAAGAAAAUAAAAAAAUACUACUUAAUAGACAUCAGUUGAAUAAAAAAGGUACCAUAAACAGUUGCACCAUUAGUAGUAGUAAUGUUAAAAGUAGUAACGAUUUGGGUGAUUCAUCUAUCAGUAACAAUAAUAAUAUUCAAUCUCAUUUAAAUCAAAGUAAAAAGGAAAAAAGUGUUAGUGGUGGUGGUGUUAGUGUUAGUGGUGAUAGUGGCAGCCCUAGUCCUAAUCGUAAUAGUAGUAGCAAGAAUAGAACUACUGCUUUUAAUAACAAUUCUGAGGUUGAUACCAAUAAAGACGAUGUAAAAAAGGAAGCAAAAAAAGAAGCAAAAAAAGAAGCAAAAAAAGAAGCAAACAAAGAAGCAAAAAAAGAAGCAAAAAAAGAAGCAACAAAAGAAGCAACAAAAGAAGCAACAAAAGAAUCAACAAAAGAAGCAAAAAAUAUGAACGGACAGCACAAUACAGUCCCAAAUCAACUACCUCUUUAUAUAUUACUUGAUUGUAGUUCAGUAUUAGGAAUGAAAGAAUUAUGGAAGGAUAACACUUUUUUGCCGUUUAGUUUUCCCGGACUGGUUUAUAUGCACCAUAAUGGGUUGAUAAAGAUGUGUGGCAAUGGUGGUAGUAGCAAUAAUAGCGUUAGUAGUAGUAGUAAUAAUAGCGGUAGUAGUAGUAAUAAUAAUAGCGGUAGUAGUAGUAGUAAUAAUAAUAGUAGUAGUCAUAGCGGUAGCAGUAGUAAUAAUGUUAAGGAUGAUAGGAAAAGUGAAGAAGAGACAGAUGAAAACCAAAAUGAAAGUUUUAUUUGUCUUAUGUGUAGUUACGUAGCAAAUGAAUUAAAAGUUAUCUGUCAAAAAAGUGAAAUCAUGAGACAGAAAAUGAUCAAUUUAAAAGCUGAUGCUUGGGAUAGACUUUCCGAGUUAGGCAUAAUGGAAUUUUUAACAGUACCUAAAGAUUUUAAAGAUAAGAACAAAAGCAUUUUCAAAUCAUCAUUUUUAACAAAUGAACAAAUAAAACUUGCUAAUGAUUAUUAUGCCAUAUCUCAAGAAUCAUUGUUAAUGAUACAGUUUUCAAUUUUAUGGGCAACUUAUAUUUAUAAGCUUAGUAACAAAGAAAUAGUAAUAACAGAAAAAAAAAAAAAAGAAAUUAAUAAUAAGAGUGGUUUAAAUAAUAAUUAUACUAACCAAACUAUUUUUAGUGAUGUUAUAUAUUUAACUGCUUCUUCUAACAUUUAUUCAUUUUUUGAAUGUUUAUAUGAACAAGAUAUAAAAUUAGUACUACCAUUAUGUGUCACGGUUAAUCAAAUUAAUCAAUAUAUACAAGACGAACAUAGUUAUGUCAUAGAUUUAUUAAUAAAUAACAAAACAUUGGAUAAAAAUAUUAAUUUUAAUUUUAAUAAAAUAUUUAUACAACGAUUUGUACGUGAAAAAUAUUCGAAAUAUUUAAACAUAGUUAUGACACAGACACCUAGUAAGAUAGUAAAAGAAGUGACCACGUUGCAUGACAAUGUUUCUAAAAGUGACAGUGUCAUUUUUGAAAAUGUUGUUUUAAAAUCGAAUAUAAAUCAACAUUUAGUUUCGAACGAUAAGAACAAAGAUGAUGAAAAUGAUGGUAGGGAUUAUAAUAGUGACGAUAAAAGAAGUAGUAACAAUAACAUUAAUAGUUGUUAUACUAACGUAAAUUUAAAAAAUGAUAGUAAAAUGAGUAAUAACAACAGUGUCACGUUAAGUGAUGAAGUACAUAUUGGAGAUAAUGGAAAAGACGAAGUAAAUAGCAAAACAAAUAAAGGAAAACAAGAUGUGGAUAUCAUUUUGAGUACAAACCAAUUUAGUGCUUUAUAUUAUAAUGAAUUUAACAAUAAUAAAAUAAAAAAGAACGUAAUGUCUACCAAUAAUGAUAACAAAGAUGGUAAGUUAGAAGUAAAAAAAGACGAGCAUGUAAUAAUACCUGAGGUGGUAAAUGGAAGCAUCCGUAACAUUGACAAUGCUAUUAACGUCAAUUGUAGUAACAAUAAUACGAAGACAUAUAAUAACAUAUAUGACGAGAGUUAUACGAAAGCGAAGGCAAAGGCGAAGGCGAAGGCGAACGUAAAUAUAAAUUUAAACAAACAAUACCAUUUACGAACUAACAAAAAUUAUGACAUUCUGCAUUUGUUACAAAGUGAUAGUGAUGGUAUUGGUAUGUUAACAGAUAAGAUGUGCCAGAUGGACAAGGUGGGCAAGAUGGGAGGAAAAGAGGCUUACGAUGUAUAUGUUAUAGAAAAUGGUAAAAGCAGAAGCAGGAGCAAGAGUAAAGGUAAAAGUAAAGGCAAAAGCAAAAGCAAGAGCAAAAGCAAGAGCAAAAGCAAGAGCAAAAGUAAAAGCAAGGGCGACAGUAACAAUGAGUAUAUAGAAAAAAAGAAUGAACACAAUAAAGAUGUAAAUACUAAUUUACUACAUAACAACAAUUCUAUGUUACUAAAAAAUAACAUAGAAGUUAAUGAUUAUUUGAAAAAAAGAGGAAGUAUAAGUGAAAAUAACGUUGUUGUUACUAGUACUGUUGCAAGUAGUAGUAAUGACCAUACUGGUAAAAACGAGAAUAAUGACAUAAAUAAUGACAUAAAUAAUGACAUAAAUAAUGACAUAAAUGAUGACACAAAUGAUAACAUAAAUGAUGAUAUAAACAGUGAUAAACAUAUUGUCAAUAAUGUUAGUACCAUUAAUAAUAACAAUAUUAACAAUAAUAAUAUGAAUAAUAUAAAAAAAUUUGAUAACAUAUUAUAUCAUGUCAACAUAGAAAACCAACUGUUAAACAAUGCAAACGUAACGAAUAAUAAUUUUCUUAUAGAUCAAGAAACAACAGAAUCAGAUGCUAAAGUUGUAACAAGUGGAAAUAAUAAUGAUGAUGGUGGUGCUCAUACAAAAGAAAAUAAACAUAGUAUAUAUAACUUGUUAGUUAGCGCAUUUAAAAGUAAUAAGAAUAAAGAAAAAAAGCAGGCAAAAUGUAUAAUAAACAACGACCAGGUUGUAGAUGUUAGUCAUGACAAAAACAAUAACAACAAUAACAACAAAAACAACAAUAACAACAAAAACAGCAAUAACAACAAAAACAGCAAUAACAACAAAAACAGUAAUAACAACAAAAACAGCAAUAACAACAAAAACAACAAUAAUAGCAAUAACAACAAUCAGUUUAACACUAUUACCGGUGUGCCAACUCACUUGGUUAAUCAUUCUACAAACAUUGGUGUAUCUAAUGCACAAAUAAAUGGUCAUAUAACAAAUGUGAUGAAUAAUGUUAACAGUGUUAAGUUAGGAAAAAAUAACAACAUUAACAUGCUUAGUACGACAUGUACUUCUGUCGUUAAUGGUGGAAAUAAAAUUAAUGAUGAUGCAUCGAAUACAUAUAAUAAUUACAACAACAAAAUUAACAAAAUUAACAAAAUUAACAAAAGCAACAAUAACAAUAACAAUAAUAUGACAAAUAAUGUGACAAAUAAUGUGACGAAUGGUGCAGGUGCAGGUGUAGGUGCAGGUGCAAGUGCAAGUGCAGCUUACGCUAACAAUAACAAAAGCUACUUUAGUAACUUUAAAAAUAACAUGUACAAUAAUAACAAUAAUAAUAACAAUAAUAGUAAUAACAAUAAUAGUAAUAACAAUAAUAGUAAUAACAAUAAUAGUAAUAACAAUAAUAGUAAUAAUAAUAAUAAUAGUAAUAAUAAUAAUAAUAAUAAUAAUAAUAAUAAUAAUAAUAAUAAUAGUGUUGAUAGUAACAUUAACAGUGACAACAAUAAGCUUUUGUAUGAUGCUGGUUCUGAAUAUGGUUUACUUUUAAGUUCUAUAUCGAAUAAUAUGCAACACAAUCUGAAUAUAUAUUCAGAUAAAAAUGAUACCAUUAAAAAAGGAAGUAAUCUAAAUAAUGUUUUUAACACAACUGAAAAGGUUACUUCUUGCUCCAAUAAUGAUAAUGAAUUAAGUACCAAGGGGAAAAAGGGAAAGAAGGACACAGACACAAACACAAACACAAACACAAACACAAACACAAACACAAUACGCCAUAACAAAAACGAAGACGAAAACGAAAAUGAAAACGAAAAAGAAAACGAAAAAAAAAACGAAGACGAAAACGAAAACGAGAGUAAAAUAUACCUUAAUGAAGCAAAAAAAAAACUACAAGCAAUAAAAAAAAUUUAUAAAAAGCAUAAUAAAGAUAUUUUAAUUACAGCACUAGUACUAGAAGAAAUCAUCUUAUCGCCAGAAGUAUUUAAACACAUUCCCACUGACAUAUAUAAUAAAAUAUUAAAUUGUUAUGAUAAAUUAGAUACGAUGUUAAUCAAUUUAAGUGAGAUACAGGACGAUGAUUGUGAACCCGUUGAUGCUGAACCCGUUGAUGCUGAACACGGUGGUGCUGAACCCGUUGAUGCUGAACAUGAUGGUGCUGAACAUGGUGAUAAUGUUUAUGAUAAUGUUUAUGAUAAUGUUUAUGAUAAUAGUAACGACAAUAACAGCAGUAGCAGUAGCAGUAGCAGUAACAGUAGAAGUAGCAGCGAAAUAAAGAAUAAGGACAUCGAAGUAGAAAAAAAUUGUGAUAUAUUUUUGAAUAAACUGGAAAAUAAACAAAACGAGAUUAAUAAAUAUAAUGGAACAAUAGACAAAAAGGAACAUAAAAAUGAAACGAAAAUACUACCAGAUACUUCUUCUAUAAAUAAAAGUAUUAUGUUUGAAGACUUUAAAAAUUUGGGGAUUCAGAAACUAUCAAAAAAUGAUUACACUUCUUUUGUAAUGUCAAUAAAUAAAUUAAUGAAUAAUAAUAAGAAUGCAUCAUCUUUAGGUUUAUCCUCACAAAAUUAUUCUCUUUUAAACAAUAACUCAUAUGUUAAUAAUAAUAAUAAUAAUAAUAGUAGUAGUAGUAAUAAUAGUAGUAAUAAUAGUAGUAGUAGUAGUAGUAAUAAUGUUAGUAAUAGUGGUAGUAAUAAUGGUAGUAACAAAGAUAUAUUGAAUAAUAUAAAUAUGUUAUAUAAUCGUAAUAACAAUACUACAGUUAUGAACAAGUCGUGCUACAAUACAAAUUCGAACAAUAUAAAUAGUAACACAAUAAUCAGUCAUACUGGUAGUGUGAAUAACCACUCUGACAGUAUACAUUGUUACGUGGGUAACACACAUAACCAUAUAAGUGUAACAAAANNNNNNNNNNNNNNNNNNNNNNNNNNNNNNNNNNNNNNNNNNNNNNNNNNNNNNNNNNNNNNNNNNNNNNNNNNNNNNNNNNNNNNNNNNNNNNNNNNNNUAGGUAUGCCAAAUAAUCAAGUAGGUAUGCCAAAUAAUCAAGUAGGUAUGCCAAAUAAUCAAGUAGGUAUGCCAAAUAAUCAAGUAGGUAUGCCAAAUAAUCAAGUAGGUAUGCCAAAUAAUCAAGUAGGUAUGCCAAAUAAUCAGAUAGGUAUGCCAAAUAAUCAGAUAGGUAUGCCAAAUAAUCAAGUAGGUAUGCCAAAUAAUCAGGUAGGUAUGCCAAAUAAUCAGAUAGGUAUGCCAAAUAAUCAGAUAGGUAUGCCAAAUAAUCAAGUAGGUAUGCCAAAUAAUCAAGUAGGUAUGCCAAAUAAUCAGGUAGGUAUGGCAAACCACGCUCCACUACAUAAUUCGAUAAAAAUUAGUAUGAAAAAGAAAAAUAACGCCGUAGUUAAAAACAUAGGAAAUAAUAAUAGCAGUAACAGUAGCAACAUAAGUAUGAAUAAUAAUAUUAACCAUAACACUGGUAGUAGUAGUAGUAGUAGUAGUAGUACUGCUUUGACACUUAAUGACUUUAACAAUUUUCUUAAUAAUAAAUACAACAUUAGGAAUAAUGUCCAUAAAAAUAAUAACUUGAAUUAUAGUAACAGUGUAAAUUGUGCUGUCAAUAGUAAUAAUGCGCAAGUAAAUAUAAAUAACAAAAUAACAAAUGGUUUCAAAAACUAUAAUAUACUAAAUAACAUAGAACUGGAUUUGAAUAAUACAAAUGAAGCUGAAUUAAAAAAUAAUAUAAAUAAAUUAAUAAUGCUAAAUAAUAAUAAUAAUAAUAACAAAUAUAAUAAUAAUAGUAGUAGUAGUAGUAGUAUUAGUAUUAGUAACAAUAAUAGUAACAAUAAUAGUAACAAUAAUAGUAACAAUAGUAGUAACAAUAAUAGUAACAAUAAUAGUAACAAUAAUAGUAACAAUANNNNNNNNNNUAGUAACAAUAAUAGUAACAAUAAUAGUAACAAUAAUAGUAACAAUAGUAGUAACAAUAAUAAUAAACAUAUUAAAUUUAAUUCUAAAAUUCAGAGUGAAAGUAAUUCCAAUUUUUAUGAUGACAAUAGUAACAAUAUUUCCAUUAACAACACUGCACAUAAUAUCUUAAAAAAUAUUAACAUGCAUAACAGUAGUAGCCAUUAUAAUAAUAUCAGUAGUAAUAAUAGUACUUACAAUGGUAUUAGUCAUAAUGAUAAUAAUUAUGGAGAUAUUGCUAAUAAUAAUAAUAUUGACAAUUAUAAAAGGUGCGACUCGGAUUUAUUAGCGCUUAUCAAAAUGAACAGAAUUAAUAAAAAUAACUUUAAUUUAAAUACGAACAUGAACUCGAACAUGAACACGAACAUGAACACAAACAUGAACACGAACAUGAACACGAACAUUAACACGAACAUGAACACGAACAUUAACACGAACAUUAACUCGAACAUGAACUCGAACAUGAACUCGAACAUGAACUCGAACAUGAACAUGAACAUGAACUCGAACAUGAACAUGAACAGUGCUCAAAAGGGGCACAACAUAAACAACGUAGAACAUAAAUUGAAUGGCUAUCUUAUAAGUAACUCGAAAAACACACCAAACAAUAAUAAAAAUGAAUUAUAUAACAUUAUAAAUACUAACCUACGUAAUGAUGGUAUGUAUUUAAACUAUUUAAAACCAAAAAAUAACCAAUUAAAUCAUACUAUGCAG
Molecule: long non-coding RNA, 8817 nt
Filed under: Piliocolobus tephrosceles (Ugandan red Colobus)
Lineage: Eukaryota; Metazoa; Chordata; Mammalia; Primates; Cercopithecidae
Description: lncRNA (ENSPTEG00000003608.1)
Source: RNAcentral